AAUUCUAGCACACCUACACAAUGGAGUACUAUGCUCCUGUAAAACAGAAUGAGGAGGAUCUCCAUGAGCUGAUAUGGAAUGAUUUCCAGGACAUACUACUCCGUGAGAAGGAAAAGCACAAAAGGGAAUAAUGUUGAAAACAUGAGACAAAUUCAUAUUGAGGAACAUUCUAAAACAUAACUGACCAGUACUCUGUCAAGAACAUUAAAGACAAGAAAAACAUGAGGGGCUGCCACAGAUUAGGUGGAGAAGAAUGAGGAGGAAGCAGUGUGGGAUCCUUGAUUCGAUCCUGGAGCAGAAAUUGAUGGAAUUGGAAUAAGAAUGAAUUUGAAAUUAAGAGAUCUUUGGGGACCUUGGCAGAACUGGGUUCGGUGGACUGGUGAUAAUGGAAUGCAGGUGCUUUGGUUGAAGACUGAACAUGAACUGAAAAAGGGGAGACACAGAAUGAGUUUAGUCUACCAUCUUGAGAAGGCUAGAAGGAAGUUAUACACCGCCUCUCAUCUGAGUGUAGUGUUACACUCGUGGCUAUUUGAGUAUGAGGAAAAAUUCCCUUGCUAGCAACCACUAUCCAAUAAAAAGGCUGAAUUU
Long non-coding RNA from Gorilla gorilla gorilla (western lowland gorilla), 588 nucleotides. RefSeq lists it as uncharacterized. The record is from RefSeq and is a predicted model, not a curated record. The transcript has 3 exons. Lineage: Eukaryota; Metazoa; Chordata; Mammalia; Primates; Hominidae.